RNAcentral lists this ribosomal RNA (254 nucleotides) under uncultured bacterium. RNAcentral describes it as "partial 16S ribosomal RNA". It matches the Rfam family "Bacterial small subunit ribosomal RNA", at positions 524 to 776 of the family's 1533-position model. The record is from RNAcentral.
UACGGGGGGGGGUAAGCGUUGUCCGGAAUCAUUGGGCGUAAAGCGCGUGUAGGCGGUUCGGUAAGUCCGCUGUGAAAGUCGGGGGCUCAACCCUCGGAUGCCGGUGGAUACUGUCGGACUAGAGUACGGAAGAGGCGAGUGGAAUUCCUGGUGUAGCGGUGAAAUGCGCAGAUAUCAGGAGGAACACCGAUUGCGAAGGCAGCUCGCUGGGACGUUACUGACGCUGAGACGCGAAAGCGUGGGGAGCAAACAGG